UACGGAGGGUGCAAGCGUUAUCCGGAUUCACUGGGUUUAAAGGGUGCGUAGGUGGGUUGAUAAGUCAGUGGUGAAAUCCCCGAGCUUAACUUGGGAACUGCCAUUGAUACUAUUGAUCUUGAAUACCGUGGAGGUCAGCGGAAUAUGUCAUGUAGCGGUGAAAUGCUUAGAUAUGACAUAGAACACCAAUUGCGAAGGCAGCUCACUACGGGUAUAUUGACACUGAGGCACGAAAGCGUGGGGAUCAAACAGG
This 253-nucleotide ribosomal RNA is filed under the name uncultured bacterium. Its description in RNAcentral is "partial 16S ribosomal RNA". It matches the Rfam family "Bacterial small subunit ribosomal RNA", at positions 524 to 776 of the family's 1533-position model. The record is from RNAcentral.